RNAcentral lists this ribosomal RNA (441 nucleotides) under uncultured bacterium. Its description in RNAcentral is "bacterial SSU rRNA". It matches the Rfam family "Bacterial small subunit ribosomal RNA", at positions 29 to 507 of the family's 1533-position model. The record is from RNAcentral.
AACGAACGCUGGCGGCAUGCCUAACACAUGCAAGUCGAACGAGACCUUCGGGUCUAGUGGCGCACGGGUGCGUAACGCGUGGGAACCUGCCUUUAGGUUCGGAAUAACAGUGAGAAAUUACUGCUAAUACCGGAUGAUGUCUUCGGACCAAAGAUUUAUCGCCUUUAGAUGGGCCCGCGUUGGAUUAGCUAGUUGGUGGGGUAAAGGCCUACCAAGGCGACGAUCCAUAGCUGGUCUGAGAGGAUGAUCAGCCACACUGGGACUGAGACACGGCCCAGACUCCUACGGGAGGCAGCAGUGAGGAAUAUUGGACAAUGGGCGCAAGCCUGAUCCAGCCAUGCCGCGUGCAGGAAGACGGUCCUAUGGAUUGUAAACCUCUUUUUUCUAGGGUAGGGAAUAAAAAUGACGUGUACCUGAGAAUAAGCAUCGGCUAACUCCGUG